GUAUCACCAAGGAAGGUUCAAUGCAACUGAAGAGGCUUUUUAAAGCUCCUGCUCCUCUUUUUUUAGGGAGAAGCUGGUGCCCCUGGAGAACCAGGAGAAAGAGGAAUGAGGGGUCCACUUGGAUUCCCAGGACGACCUGGAGAGCAGGGCAUAAAAGGCGACACAGGACAACCUGGAAAGGACGUAAGGAAUGCCCAAAGGAGCAGCUGAGAGAGGGAGAGCUUAGGAUAGUGCAAGACAGAACUAUAUUUUUUCUGCCUUACAGUAUGCAAGGCACAGAAAUCUCCCUCCCUCUCUCCUGGGGAGGGAUCUCCUCUUCAAAGGGAGGAUUAGGACUGUUUCUCCCUUCUUGUUUGACUAGCUGGAGCACAAGUUAAAUAGCAGGACUGUGCAGCAGGGGGUGCUGAGCAUGCAAACCUUCCCCAGCCCCACGCUGCUGAAAACACAAUGCUCAGCCCUGUCUCAGUCUGGUGAGGAGGGAAGGGAAAGGAUGCGCUUGUGUUCUGUCUGAUCUCCCUCUAAUAGCUUAGGAAAACACUGGCUGGCAUAAGCUACAUUUGUCAGAGGGACAGAGGUCUCAAAGGCACAGCAUUUCUACAAACUUUGGUAAAAUGAGCAUCUGGCUGGGGGAGAGAAAGUCCCUAACGAGCCUACCCACUGGGGAAGAGGCUAAUAACCUCACCUCUUAUUAAAUCUCAGAGAGCCCCUCUGCAGGAGUGAUGUUGAAUUCCAGUUCUCAUUAUCUCAGUUGCUCUAGGAAGGGCUUGUUAGUCCACAGGAUGCUGAGCUAGCAAAAAGAUGCUGAGCCCCCCUCCCCUCCCAAGGCUUCUUCUCAUUCUGCCUCUCUCUCCCCCUCCUAGGGAAUCACUGGAGAGAAGGGAGACAAGGGCGAUUCUGUAGGUUUGCACAUUCCCGUUUAUAACCUUGCAUGAAAGAAUCUGUUUGGAGGCCGAAAUGCUGAAUUGCACCACUCACUUUUUUGGGGGGGUGGGGGGUACGGGGGUGUUUUAUCUCCCUAGGGUAAGCCUGGUCUGCCUGGGACUCCUGGAAGCAUUGUGAGUAAUGCCUUCUUCUACUGACUUCCACAUUUGGUCAGGAAAGGGAUAUGUCGAGAUUUAUCAUGAAUCCUGGGUACCAGGGGGGACACACUGCCAGAAAUUAUUGCUUUCAGCAGUGUGUGCUGUACAGAGGAUUUCCCUCCUAGCCUUAUCAAAAC
This 1216-nucleotide long non-coding RNA is filed under the name Anser brachyrhynchus (Pink-footed goose). RNAcentral's name for it is "lncRNA (ENSABRG00000007101.1)". The record is from RNAcentral. Lineage: Eukaryota; Metazoa; Chordata; Aves; Anseriformes; Anatidae.